This 1008-nucleotide ribosomal RNA is filed under the name Savoryella sp. NF00205. RNAcentral describes it as "SSU rRNA". It matches the Rfam family "Eukaryotic small subunit ribosomal RNA", at positions 84 to 1102 of the family's 1831-position model. Lineage: Eukaryota; Fungi; Ascomycota; Sordariomycetes; Savoryellales; Savoryellaceae. The record is from RNAcentral.
GAACUGCGAAUGGCUCAUUAUAUAAGUUAUCGUUUAUUUGAUAGUGCCUAUCCUACACGGAUAACAGUGGUAAUUCUAGAGCUAAUACGUGCCAAAUGCCCCGACUUCGGAAGGGGCGUGCUUGUCAGAAUCAGAACCAAUGCCCUUGUGGCUCACUGGUGGCUCAUGACAAUCCCACAGAUCGCAUGGCCUUGCGCCGGCGAUGGCUCAUUCAAAUUUCUUCCCUAUCAACUUUCGACGGUACGGUCUUGGCCUACCGUGGUUACAACGGGUAACGGAGGGUUAGGGCUCGACCCCGGAGAGGGAGCCUGAGAGACGGCUACCACAUCCAAGGAAGGCAGCAGCCGCGCAAAUUAUCCAAUCCCGACACGGGGAGAUAGUGACAAUAAAUACCGAUACAGGGCUCUUUUGGGCCCCGUAAUUGGAAUGAGUACAAUUUAAACCUCUUAACGAGGAACAAUUGGAGGGCAAGUCUGGUGCCAGCAGCCGCGGUAAUUCCAGCUCCAAUAGCGUAUAUUAAAGUUGUUGUGGUUAAAAAGCUCGUAGUCGAACCUCGGGCUCGGCCGGCCGGUCCGCCUCACCGCGUGCACUGGCCCGGCCGGGCUCUUCCCUCUGAGGAGCCGCAUGCCCUUUACUGGGCGUGCCGGGGAAUCAGGACUUUUACUUUGAAAAAAUUAGAGUGCUCAAGGCAGGCCAAUGCUCGGAUACAUUAGCAUGGAAUAAUAGAAUAGGACGUUGGUUCUAUUUUGUUGGUUUCUAGGACCGCCGUAAUGAUCAAUAGGGACGGUCGGGGGCAUCAGUAUUCAGCCGCGAGAGGUGAAAUUCUUAGACCGGCUGAAGACUAACUACUGCGAAAGCAUUUGCCAAGGACGUUUUCGCUGAUCAGGAACGAAAGUUAGGGGAUCGAAGACGAUCAGAUACCGUCGUAGUCUUAACCAUAAACGGUGCCGACUUGGGAUCGGGCGCUGCUGAUUUUACGGCGCGCUCGGCACCAUUCGAGAAAUCAAA